Molecule: long non-coding RNA, 4313 nt
Organism: Homo sapiens (human)
Lineage: Eukaryota; Metazoa; Chordata; Mammalia; Primates; Hominidae
Exons: 4
Source: RefSeq, a predicted model, not a curated record
GCUAGGCCUGCACGGAGCCUGGGCGGGGUGUAGGAGGACCUGGAGGAGUGCUGGAGCCAGGCAAGCUGGGCUGCUACCAGGAACCCGAACCCCUCCAGACACCCCGGGAGAGGUGACCCACCUGCCCCUGUGCGCAAGUCACUGAAAGUUUUGGAGCCUGGUUUUCUUACCUGAGAAAUGGGGCUGAUGAUCGUCCUGACUGAUCGAUUGGACCACCCGGUACACCACUGGCCUCUCCGAUCCACAAGCUUCGAAAGCAUUUUCAUAUCAGAAGCAUGUGGAAGUCCCAGCCCCUGAGACCUGAGAGUGGGACCUCAUUUGGAAACAGGAUCCUGCAGAUGUGGUCAAGACAAGCACUGGGCUGGGCGGGGCCCAAGUCCAGGAACAGGCAUCCUCCUAAGAGGAAAGAGACCAACACGGUGCCAUGGGAGGCAGGCGAGGUUGGAGCAACGGCACAAGCCAGGGAAGCUGAGAGCAGCAGAUGCUGGGACAGGUGGCUAGGAGCCACCGGUGCACCCGGGGAGCACGCCCUUGCGAGGUGAUGAAAAACCUGCUGAAAUAGCACAGAGCAGCCCCUCCCGCGGUGGUUCAUAGCAUUCAUCCCCUGAGAGCCCACACAGGCCACACCACCGGCCCACAGAGGGGAAGCUGAGGCAGGAGCCUAAUGACUCGCCCCAGGCCUCAAAACGAUGUGCACUGGGGCUGUUUCCACUAUUAAGUCAACAAUCUCUGCAGUUUCUGCUUAAUGGUCUCAAUUAAGGUUCUCUUAAUAAAGAACAUUUGUGGAGAAGAUGGGUGGGGCUGACACAGUUCUGCGGUCCACAAUGCCUCUGAAUCCCAGUGAAAACAGGCUAGAGCCUUCUCAGCUCCCAAGGCACAACCAAAAUACAGACAGACAGGAGCGCCCCAGGGAAGGAGAACUGGCGUGGUGUCCACACAGGCAUCAGGAAGUGUGUGAGCCUGCGAAUGUGCACCUGUGUGCAUGUGGUGGCAUGUAGGUGGAAUGUAGGUGGCACGUGUGCAUGAAUCGAGUGCAUAUACAUGUGAAUGGUAUGUGUGCACAUGUAAGCAUAUGUAUGCCAUAUGCGUGUACACGUUGCAUGUGAGUAUAUGUAUACCAUGAGUGUGCACUGUGCAUGUGAGCAUAUGCAUGCUGUAUGUGUACACUGUGCAUGUGAGCAUAGGUGUACCGUGUGUGUGUGCACUGUGCAUGUGAGCAUAUGCAUGCCGUGUGCGUGUAUGCACUGUGCAUGUGUGCAUAUGUACGGUGUGUGCAUGUGUGCACUGUGCAUGUGAGCUUACGUAUGCUGUGUGCACUGCGCAUGUGAGCAUAUGUAUGCUGUGUGCACUGUGCAUGUGAGCAUAUAUAUGCCAUGCCUGUGCACGUGAGCAUAUGUAUCCUGUGUGCAUGUGUGCACUGUGCAUGUGAACAUAUGUAUGCCAUGUGUGUGCACUGUACAUGUGAGUAUAUGUAGGCCGUGCCUGUGCACUGUGCAUGUUAGCAUAUGUAUCCUGUGUGUGCGUGUGCAGUGUGCAUGUGAGCAUAUAUAUGCCAUGUGCGUGCACACCGUGCAUGUGAGCACAUAUAUGCUGUGUACUGUGCAUGUUAGCAUGUGUAUGCCAUGUAUGCGUGUGUGCACUAUGCAUGUGAGCAUAUGUGUGCUGUGUGCACUGUACAUGAGCAUAUGUACACUGUGUGCAGCAUGCAUGUGAACAUAUAUAUACCAUGUACGUGAGCACUAUGCAAGUUAGCAUAUGUAUGCCGUGUGUGGGCACUGUGCAUGUGAACAUAUGUAUGCCAUGUGCAUGUGUGCACUGUACAUGUGAGCAUAUGUACGCUGUGUGCGGGCACUGCCUGUGAGCAUAUGUAUGCCAUGUGUGCAGUGUGCAUGUGAGCAUGUCAUGUGUGCACUGUAUGUGAGCAUGUUUGCCAUGUAUGCAUGUGUACGGCACAUGUGAGCAUGUGUAUGCCAUGUGUGCAUGUGUGCACUGUGCAUGUGAGCAUAUACCAUGUGUGCAUGUGGACUGUGCAUGUGAGUAUAUGUAUGCCGUGUGUGUGUGGGCACUGUGCAUGUCAGCAUAUGUAUGCCGUGCAUGUGCACUGUGCACGUGAGCAUAUGUAUGCUAUCUAUGUGCAUGCACUGUGCAUGAACAUAUGUAUAUGCCGUGUGCACUGUGCAUGUGAGCGUAUGUAUGCCAUGCAUGUGCAUUGUGUAUGUAAGCAUAUGCCAUGUGUGCACUGUGCAUGUGUGCAUAUGUAUGCCAUGUGUGCAUGUGCACAGUGCACAUGUACGUGCCAUGUGUGCACAUAUGUGCAUGUGUCCCUCUGUGUGUCAACACCCAUGUCUGUACCUGCUGCUCUCUUUGGAGAGAAAUACCUACGUGCUCACCUUUGGCCUUCAUGGAGUGACUCACUGGCCCCGGUGGGUGCUGUCUCAUGGAUGGGCUUGAGUUCUGAAGGGCGCCGUCCAGGCAGGAGCAGGUGGAGAAGCCAUAGCUACUCACUUCCAAAACUUCCUUGACUGCUCAGGGUUCAGGCCUCCCCAUGUAAAGAGGGCCCUCCGGCGGGGCUUCCUUGUGUCCACACCAGCCUGGGUCUCAGGAAGACCUUGAGGGGCAGGACCAAACAGGUGAGGGGGACAGACCCUUAGUCCAUCCCUCAGGGUUGCUGGAGCCCCAGAAGCUCCUGCCUAGACCCCCAUCCAAAAGUCAGACCAGCAGAAGUCAAGCAGACCAAACUUAGACUAAUGCGUGGGUGACUGAUGGCCUUUUAAUAAUCCAGACGCAUCUGCAUUUUCAGACCAGGAUCUCAUUUAACACAAACAGCUCUUUAAUUGGUUGCAUUCCAGGGGCUUAACAAAGUGGGAACUGCAGCAUGUUGGGGGAGGGAGGAGUCAGCCCAUGCUGCGGGGUGGCUGGCCCCCCAUUGGCCCCCACGGGGCACCCCAGAUGCCCCUACCAUGGCCUACUGUCCACGCCAAGCCCUCCACGGUGGUGGCCAACACACGGGGGCUCCUGAGGGCUGCCUGUGGCAGGGCACUCAGAAAUGGGGGUGACCGAGGCUCCUGCGGGGGUGCGCAGGCCUCCCUGGGCACAGAUGCUGCCUGGGCUGUGAGGGAGAAGCUGUCUGCUGGUGGCUCUGUCCUCUCCAGGAGGCCCUGGGGUGAGGGCAGCAGUUGAGGCUGCAUAAGAGCACUUCACACCCAGGGCUCCGUUCAGCCAGGUCAUAGGGCCCCCCCGGCUCCUGGAUCCACUGGGACCGCCCAGCAGAGGGAACCGCAGCCGUGCAUAUGGAGCGGGAGAGGCCGCAGGGCUGCAGCCCGAGCUCAGAUCGAGGAAGGCUCCAUCCCUCCUGUCCUCAUCACAGGGUGACAUGGUUCGGGUGAGCCCCCGUCCUGGGACUUUGGCUAACAAAACAAAGACAGGCUUUGCACGACUGGGGGACCCUGGGCAGCACAAGAGCAGCACCCCCAAGAUGGGGAGGAAUGAAGCUGGGCGUGAGACGCUCGGCCCUUGAGGGCGGGUCUGGAAGCCGGGUUCCCCAUGUGGCAUCCACGCAGCUGCAGCUGCCUGGGAUCACGGCACACGCGACUCUCAUGUGUCGUUGCUGAGGAGCAAUUCCCUAUUACCUCUGUCUUCUCCUCAACUUCUGACUCUGCUGUUGCCUUCUUGCAGCAUCUACAUCAUUUCCUCCAGCAGAACUCACUUGCCCCAGGCAGCGACUCCAGGCGCCUGUCUCAGGCUGCAGGCACGGGGACCCGUGGCUGCCACACACAGCUUGAGGGCAGGAGGCCCCUGCCCCGACCGUCUACAGUGGCACAUCCAGCUGCAGCAGUGAGAAGCCUGUGAGGCCGCAGCUCACCCCUGUGCUGGUACCGCCACACGCGCUCACGUACACACGUGCUCAUGUACACACAUGCAUGUUACAGGCCUGCGUGGGUGGACUCAGGUGUGUGGGCGUCCAUCCUGAAUCGGGACAGAAAAGUCAUUUGUAGACCAUGCAUGACCUCAAAAUCUUUCCAAAUUAAAUCUUCAAAAAUCGGAAACAAAACAAAACCAACAUCUAACCUGCUCCUCAGCAACGCUACGUGCCCCAGCGUGGACAGUUCCCAGGCCCACGUGCUUAGUCCUGCAGAUCAGACACGAUUCCAAUAAAAUCAGCAGGAGGUAGAACACUUUAUAGCCAUUUUCUAGACACACACUGUCUGAUGGAAAUCUAAUGGGAACCACAUAUGCUAUUUUAAGGUUUCUAAUGUCCACAUUAAAAAAAGAAUAAAAAAUAGGUGUCUUUUUUUUUUUUUUUUUUUUUUAAA